This 502-nucleotide ribosomal RNA is filed under the name uncultured bacterium. RNAcentral's name for it is "bacterial SSU rRNA". It matches the Rfam family "Bacterial small subunit ribosomal RNA", at positions 29 to 512 of the family's 1533-position model. The record is from RNAcentral.
AACUAACGCUGGCGGCGUGCCUAACACAUGCAAGUCGUACGAGAAAGUUGGCUUCGGCCGAUGAGUAAAGUGGCGCACGGGUGAGUAAUGCGUGGAUAAUCUGCCCUUUAGUUGGGAAUAACGUACCGAAAGGUGCGCUAAUACCUGAUAAUACUGCAUAACUACUGUUGUGUAGUCAAAGAAGGCCUCUGUUUACAAGCUUUUGCUGAAGGAUGAGUCCGCGUACCAUUAGCUGGUUGGUGGGGUAAUGGCCUACCAAGGCUACGAUGGUUAGCUGGUCUGAGAGGAUGAUCAGCCACACUGGAACUGAGACACGGUCCAGACUCCUACGGGAGGCAGCAGUGAGGAAUAUUGGUCAAUGGGCGAGAGCCUGAACCAGCCAAGUCGCGUGAAGGAAGAAGGUUCUAUGGAUUGUAAACUUCUUUUGUAAGGGAAUAAAAAGAGUUACGUGUAACUUAUUGUAUGUACUUUACGAAUAAGGAUCGGCUAACUCCGUGCCAGC